GACGAACGCUGGCGGCGUGCCUAAUACAUGCAAGUCGAGCGCAGGAAACUGACGGAACUCUUCGGAGGGAAGGCAGCGGAAUGAGCGGCGGACGGGUAAGUAACACGUAAGGAACCUGCCUCAAGGAUUGGGAUAACUCCGAGAAAUCGGAGCUAAUACCGGAUAGUUCAUCGGACCGCAUGGUCCGUUGAUGAAAGGCGCUCCGGCGUCACCUUGAGAUGGCCUUGCGGUGCAUUAGCUAGUUGGUGGGGUAACGGCCCACCAAGGCGACGAUGCAUAGCCGACCUGAGGGGGUGAUCGGCCACACUGGGACUGAGACACGGCCCAGACUCCUACGGGAGGCAGCAGUAGGGAAUCUUCCACAAUGGACGAAAGUCUGAUGGAGCAACGCCGCGUGAGUGAUGAAGGUUUUCGGAUCGUAAAACUCUGUUGUAAGGGAAGAACACGUACGAGAGGAAAUGCUCGUACCUUGACGGUACCUUACGAGAAAGCCACGGCUAACUACGUGCCAGCCGCCGCGGUAA
Molecule: ribosomal RNA, 524 nt
Filed under: uncultured bacterium
Lineage: Bacteria
Description: partial 16S ribosomal RNA
Rfam family: Bacterial small subunit ribosomal RNA
Source: RNAcentral